RNAcentral lists this unclassified non-coding RNA (203 nucleotides) under Hevea brasiliensis (rubber tree). Lineage: Eukaryota; Viridiplantae; Streptophyta; Magnoliopsida; Malpighiales; Euphorbiaceae. The record is from RNAcentral.
GGCAAAUCUGGAUCAUAAUCCUAAAAUGAAGGCAAUGGAAAAUAAAAAAGUUUUCCUCUUUACAAAAUUCAAAAAAUAAUAAGAAAAGGAAUGUCAAAGCUAAGCUACAUCUUUAUGUGUAUUUAAAUAUAUCAUUUCAAUACAGCCUUACAUAUGCAUAAUACAGAAGAACCUUACUACCUGCUCUGAUCGCCCACUCUCAU